This 21-nucleotide microRNA is filed under the name Physcomitrium patens. Its description in RNAcentral is "ppt-miR1030j". The record is from miRBase by way of RNAcentral. Lineage: Eukaryota; Viridiplantae; Streptophyta; Bryopsida; Funariales; Funariaceae.
CCUGCAUCUGCACCUGCACCA